GACGAACGCUGGCGGCGUGCCUAACACAUGCAAGUCGAGCGAUGAAGCUUCUUCGGAAGUGGAUUAGCGGCGGACGGGUGAGUAACACGUGGGUAACCUGCCUCAUAGUGGGGAAUAGCCUCUCGAAAGGGAGAUUAAUACCGCAUAAGAUUGUAGUUCCGCAUGGAAUAGCAAUUAAAGGAUUUAUUCGCUAUGAGAUGGACCCGCGGCGCAUUAGCUAGUUGGUGAGGUAACGGCUCACCAAGGCGACGAUGCGUAGCCGACCUGAGAGGGUGGUCGGCCACAUUGGGACUGAGACACGGCCCAGACUCCUACGGGAGGCAGCAGUGGGGAAUAUUGCACAAUGGGGGAAACCCUGAUGCAGCAACGCCGCGUGAGUGAUGACGGCCUUCGGGUUGUAAAGCUCUGUCUUCAGGGACGAUAAUGACGGUACCUGAGGAGGAAGCCACGGCUAACUACGUGCCAGCAGCCGCCGUAA
RNAcentral lists this ribosomal RNA (478 nucleotides) under uncultured bacterium. Its description in RNAcentral is "partial 16S ribosomal RNA". It matches the Rfam family "Bacterial small subunit ribosomal RNA", at positions 28 to 523 of the family's 1533-position model. The record is from RNAcentral.